This 272-nucleotide ribosomal RNA is filed under the name uncultured bacterium. Its description in RNAcentral is "partial small subunit ribosomal RNA". It matches the Rfam family "Bacterial small subunit ribosomal RNA", at positions 26 to 288 of the family's 1533-position model. The record is from RNAcentral.
AGGACGAACGCUGGCGGCGUGCUUAACACAUGCAAGUCGAACGCGCUCCAUUCGGUAGCAAUACUGAUGAAGAGCGAGUGGCGAACGGGUGAGUACCACGUGAGCAACCUGCCCCGAAGACUGGGACAACACCGGGAAACCGGUGCUAAUACCGGAUACCCUUGUCGGACCGCAUGAUCCGACAAGGAAAUGAAUUUUGCUUUCGGGAGGGGCUCGCGGCCUAUCAGCUUUGUUGGUGGGGUAAUGGCCUACCAAGGCAUCGACGGGUAGCU